RNAcentral lists this long non-coding RNA (1110 nucleotides) under Sander lucioperca (pikeperch). RNAcentral's name for it is "lncRNA (ENSSLUG00000014213.1)". The record is from RNAcentral. Lineage: Eukaryota; Metazoa; Chordata; Actinopteri; Perciformes; Percidae.
AUGUGGAGUAGAAAACCUGUAACCCUCACUGAAACUCCAAAGAUUUCCACGAAACCUGCAUAUGAAUAUGCAACAAAGUCAGCAACAUGGGAACCUCCUUAUCCCAAAAUACUGCAGGAUGGAGCCGUUGAAAAUUUCAGACCACAAGAGGUUCAUGAGAAAGUCACCUAUGCUGAGCCUCUAUCCCCUCCCAAUGAGCAGGAGGUUGGAACAACAUCAGGGGACAAAGAAAAUGAAGAGAACCGGAACAAUGUUGGUGUGGAACCUCCCGAGGAAAGAUGCAUCGUAGAGUCAGUUGUCAGUUAUCAGGUUGAGUCUGGCCUCAGCAAUGAGCCACCCUUGAAUGAUGAAGUUAGUCAGCAUCAGUUGACCACACCCAACCUUUUACCAUACCAUGUCAGAAUGAGAGAGGAGCCCUGUGGUUUCUCGGAUGAAUCUGAUAACGAUGUGCCUUUUGAAAUACCUGCUGAAAAAGAAGAGCCGCACGCUCCAAUUGAUGCAUGGGUAGAGAAAGAGUGGAGAGGCAAAGAAGUAGAGCAUGUGCAAGAGGAAACGUCAGACGCUGAAACUGAGGUGGUAAUUGAACCAAACUUUGAAUCAAGGACGAGUAGUCCAGUGUCUGAAUGUGAGCCUGAAGAAAGCUUGUUCAACAAAGUGACAGACUUCAACCGAGAUGAAAACAUCUUGAAGGAGGAUGCAGUCAAGAUGAGGCAAGAAAUAAGUUCUAUAGUAGGAACAAAUGAGACGGAUGUUGAAGAUAUGUUGUACCCGGAUGGAGAAGAGAUGGAUACGUGGGAUAGUGUAAUAGAGAGGAGGGUUGAUGUAAAGACAGAUGAAGGCAUAGAAAAGGAUGAAGAAAAACGACAACACGCUGAACCAGAGGAAGACAUAUCAGCAAGAGAACAAGAGCAUGACAAGAAAGAAACUAGGCAGGAUUUGGUCACUGAUGUAGAGCAAAACGACAACGUGGCCUCUUCAAUGAUGGACACACAAGUAGAUGAUGAUGGACAGCAUGCUGCGCUAGACCAAGAGCAUGCACGGUUUCCUGACAACGGAGAAGACGAUGAAGAGGAAGAUUCUCAAAAUGUUUCCGUGUCAUGGAGAACCGAG